Molecule: ribosomal RNA, 551 nt
Filed under: Cricetomys sp. 14RD1513
Lineage: Eukaryota; Metazoa; Chordata; Mammalia; Rodentia; Nesomyidae
Description: partial large subunit ribosomal RNA
Rfam family: Bacterial large subunit ribosomal RNA
Source: RNAcentral
CUCUAGCAUUAAAAGUAUUAGAGGCACUGCCUGCCCAGUGACUUCAGUUAAACGGCCGCGGUAUCCUGACCGUGCAAAGGUAGCAUAAUCAUUUGUUCCUUAAUUAGGGACUAGUAUGAAAGGCUUGACGAGGGUUUAACUGUCUCUUAUUUUUAAUCAGUGAAAUUGACUUCCCUGUGAAGAGGCAGGGAUACUACAAUAAGACGAGAAGACCCUAUGGAGCUUUAAUUAUAUGGCUUAAUCAAAAAAUUCUCAACCCCUAAUGGACUAAACCAACAAAUGUAAGCCAGAAAUUUCGGUUGGGGUGACCUCGGAGCACAAAAAACCCUCCGAAUGUUUUUAACCAAGACCAACAAGUCUAAGUAACUCAAAAACAUAUUUGACCCAAAUAUAUUUGAUCAACGGACCAAGUUACCCUAGGGAUAACAGCGCAAUCCUAUUUAAGAGUCCAUAUCGACAAUUAGGGUUUACGACCUCGAUGUUGGAUCAGGACAUCCCAAUGGUGCAGAAGCUAUUAAAGGUUCGUUUGUUCAACGAUUAAAGUCCUACGU